This 1303-nucleotide ribosomal RNA is filed under the name Hyalinocysta chapmani. RNAcentral describes it as "SSU rRNA". It matches the Rfam family "Microsporidia small subunit ribosomal RNA". Lineage: Eukaryota; Fungi; Microsporidia; Thelohaniidae. The record is from RNAcentral.
CACCAGGUUGAUUCUGCCUGACGUGGACGCUAGCCUUUAAGAGUAAGCCAUGCAAGCCUGUGAAUAUUUGAAACAGUGAACGGCUCAGUAUAACACAUUUUAUCUAAUCUAGCCAGUAAUAUAACCAUGGGAAACUAUGGCUAAAGUUACAAAUAGAAUGAGAGUGUGACCUAUCAGCUUGUCGGUAAGGUAAGUGCUUACCGAGGCAAUAACGGGUAACGGGGAAUUAUAGUUCGAUUCCGGAGAGGGAGCCUGAGAGAUGGCUACCACGUCCAAGGACGGCAGCAGGCGCGAAUCUUACCCAAUGAGCAUUGAGGUAGUUAUGAGGCGUGUGCGGUUAGUUUUCUAACAUAUGUGCAUGAAGGUUAUUUAAAAAGUAUACUCAACCACUGGAGGGCAAGUCUGGUGCCAGCAGCCGCGGUAAUUCCAGCUCCAGUAGCGUCUGUGUAAUUUGUUGCGGUUAAAACGUGCGUAGUCUGGCUUACUGGCCUGGAAUAAAAGCGUGGACUCAAAACAUGUUGCUUUCCAGGAACCAAGGCCUUGAGACAGGGGAGAGGUAACGAAAUUCGCUGGCGAGAGGUGAAAAUCGAUGACCCAGUGAGGAUAGACAAAAGCGAAAGCAGUUAUCAGAAACUGUUCUGACGAUCAAGCACGUAGGCGGGAGUAUCGAAAAGGAUUAGAUACCCUUGUAGUUCCCAGCAGUAAACGAUGCCUACGCUGGUGUGUUCACGCACGCUAGAAGCUAAAGCUUAGAUGGCUCCGGGGAUAGUACGGACGCAAGUUAGAAACUUGAAGAAAUUGACGGAAGGACACCACCAGGAGUGGAGUGUGCGGAUUAAUUUGACUCAACGCGAGAAAACUUACCAGAGGCAGACUAUUGUUGUGAGAAGGAAUACCUGAUAACAUAGUGCGUGGUGCAUGGCCGUUCUUAACACGUGGAGUGAUCUGUCGUGUCAAAUCAGAUAACGCGUGAGAGGUGACUGUGAUACCGUUGGUAUCAUGGACAACACAUGUAAAUGUGAGGAAGCUGCACCCAAUAACAGGUCCGUGAUGCCCGUAGAUGUCCUGGGCUUCACGCGCACUACAAUUGUUGAUACUUGUAGUAAUCAAUGAGAGUUGGGAUUGACGAUUGUAAUAUUGUCAUGAACGUGGAAUUCCUAGUAUAUGGUUGUCAUCAACGACUGUUGAAUGAGUCCCUGUUCUUUGUACACACCGCCCGUCGUUAUCUAAGAUGGUUGUUUGGAGGAAGAGACUUCUGGUCUAAGACUUCUAAUGACUAGAUUGGAUGUAAGUCGUAACAUGG